ACGGUCAUAUGCUGAAGCACCAGUUCCCGUACGAUCACCGAAGGUAAGCAACGUCAUACCUGGUCAGUACCAAGAUGGGUGACUGCUUCAAAAUACCAGGUGGUGUAA
Molecule: non-coding RNA, 108 nt
Organism: Acanthosepion pharaonis
Lineage: Eukaryota; Metazoa; Mollusca; Cephalopoda; Sepiida; Sepiidae
Source: the annotation of a GenBank genome assembly